This 190-nucleotide non-coding RNA is filed under the name Oscillospiraceae bacterium. RNAcentral describes it as "6S RNA". It matches the Rfam family "6S / SsrS RNA". Rfam says of the family: E. coli 6S RNA was the first non coding RNA to be sequenced, but its function was unknown until recently. It consists of 184 nucleotides that fold into an extended hairpin structure with a large single-stranded internal bulge. The record is from RNAcentral. Lineage: Bacteria; Bacillati; Bacillota; Clostridia; Eubacteriales; Oscillospiraceae.
AAAACCCUGCGAAGCCCGAUAACUACGGUAAAUAUUAACCCAACAAACUUUUCAAGGGAGUCAGAACUUCGGUGCGGAGGAGCAGACCUCCCGUGAUUUUACGGACGAAGGGAGCACGAAAGCUUCGAGAUGACACCCACCUGCUUACACGCAGGUUAUUAUUCACCGUUCCCGACUUUGCGGGGCUUUA